AGGCAGCUUACUGGAUUGUAACUGACGCUGAUGCUCGAAAGUGUGGGUAUCAAACAGGAUUAGAUACCCUGGUAGUCCACACAGUAAACGAUGAAUACUCGCUGUUGGCGAUAUACAGUCAGCGGCCAAGCGAAAGCAUUAAGUAUUCCACCUGGGGAGUACGCCGGCAACGGUGAAACUCAAAGGAAUUGACGGGGGCCCGCACAAGCGGAGGAACAUGUGGUUUAAUUCGAUGAUACGCGAGGAACCUUACCCGGGCUUAAAUUGCAACUGACUGAAUCGGAAACGGUUCUUUCUUCGGACAGUUGUGAAGGUGCUGCAUGGUUGUCGUCAGCUCGUGCCGUGAGGUGUCGGCUUAAGUGCCAUAACGAGCGCAACCCUUA
This 383-nucleotide non-coding RNA is filed under the name Bacteroides stercoris. Its description in RNAcentral is "Bacterial small subunit ribosomal RNA". It matches the Rfam family "Bacterial small subunit ribosomal RNA", at positions 719 to 1107 of the family's 1533-position model. Lineage: Bacteria; Pseudomonadati; Bacteroidota; Bacteroidia; Bacteroidales; Bacteroidaceae. The record is from Rfam by way of RNAcentral.